Molecule: ribosomal RNA, 429 nt
Filed under: Gemmatimonadota bacterium
Lineage: Bacteria; Pseudomonadati; Gemmatimonadota
Description: Gemmatimonadetes bacterium partial 16S ribosomal RNA
Rfam family: Bacterial small subunit ribosomal RNA
Source: RNAcentral
UAGGGAAUCUUCGGCAAUGGACGAAAGUCUGACCGAGCAACGCCGCGUGAGUGAAGAAGGUUUUCGGAUCGUAAAACUCUGUUGUUAGAGAAGAACAAGGACGUUAGUAACUGAACGUCCCCUGACGGUUUCUAACCAGAAAGCCACGGCUAACUACGUGCCAGCAGCCGCGGUAAUACGUAGGUGGCAAGCGUUGUCCGGAUUUAUUGGGCGUAAAGCGAGCGCAGGCGGUUUCUUAAGUCUGAUGUGAAAGCCUCCGGCUCAACCGGGGAGGGUCAUUGGAAACUGGGAGACUUGAGUGCAGAAGAGGAGAGUGGAAUUCCAUGUGUAGCGGUGAAAUGCGUAGAUAUAUGGAGGAACACCAGUGGCGAAGGCGGCUCUCUGAUCUGUAACUGACGCUGAGGCUCGAAAGCGUGGGGAGCAAACAGG